This 490-nucleotide ribosomal RNA is filed under the name uncultured bacterium. Its description in RNAcentral is "partial 16S ribosomal RNA". It matches the Rfam family "Bacterial small subunit ribosomal RNA", at positions 28 to 507 of the family's 1533-position model. The record is from RNAcentral.
GAUGAACGCUAGCGAUAGGCUUAACACAUGCAAGUCGAGGGGCAGCAUGGUCUUAGCUUGCUAAGACUGAUGGCGACCGGCGCACGGGUGCGUAACGCGUAUGCAACUUGCCUCACAGAGGGGGAUAACCCGUCGAAAGACGGACUAAUACCGCGUACACUCCAUCUUGGGCAUCCAAGGUAGAGGAAAUGAAAUUCGCUGUGAGAUAGGCAUGCGUCCCAUUGGCUAGUUGGUGAGGUAACGGCUCACCAAGGCGACGAUGGGUAGGGGAACUGAGAGGUUGAACCCCCACACUGGUACUGAGACACGGACCAGACUCCUACGGGAGGCAGCAGUGAGGAAUAUUGGUCAAUGGGCGAGAGCCUGAACCAGCCAAGUCGCGUGAAGGAUGACUGUCUUAUGGAUUGUAAACUUCUUUUAUACGGGAAUAACAAGAGUCACGUGUGACUCCCUGCAUGUACCGUAUGAAUAAGCAUCGGCUAACUCCGUG